CUUUUACAAUGAAGAGUUUGAUCCUGGCUCAGGAUGAACGCUAGCUACAGGCUUAACACAUGCAAGUCGAGGGGCAGCAUUCUUCUAGCAAUAGAAGAGAUGGCGACCGGCGCACGGGUGAGUAACACGUAUCCAACCUGCCGAUAACUCCGGAAUAGCCUUUCGAAAGAAAGAUUAAUACCGGAUAGCAUACGAAUAUCGCAUGAUAUUUUUAUUAAAGAAUUUCGGUUAUCGAUGGGGAU
Molecule: ribosomal RNA, 242 nt
Filed under: Bacteroides sp. AF26-7BH
Lineage: Bacteria; Pseudomonadati; Bacteroidota; Bacteroidia; Bacteroidales; Bacteroidaceae
Description: partial 16S ribosomal RNA
Rfam family: Bacterial small subunit ribosomal RNA
Source: RNAcentral